UCGAGGUCAGGUCAUCGCAUUGCGAGCAUCCGGCGCUGACCAGUCCACCACAUGUUCGUUGUGGACGGUUCAAGAGAUAUAUCAAAAAACUCUUACUAGCAAUGUGCCCAAUCGUUGCAACGGAUCAAAAGUUCACAAACUUGAAAGAAAACCCUCUCGUUUCGAUAUACUCCCUCCGUCCCGAAAUUCAUAUCGCAGCAGUCAUUUUGCAAUUUAGUCCUCAGCCUUUUCCCGACCGAACCCGAAGUCCCUCUGUGUAGUCGCUCUCUUCCUCCUUCCUCUGCAACCGGCCGGCACCGCCGACGCCGUUCCCCUCCGCGCAGCUCCGUGCUGCUUGCACCUCCUCUCCCUCCCCCGCAGUUCCUCUCCCUCCCCAGCGUCGGCGCCCUCUCCCUUGCACGCGUUGCCGGCGCUCUCUUCCUCUCGCAUGUCCCUCCGCAUCGGUGAAAAUCCGAUUUUCCCCCUCUGGCUCUUCGAUCUGCAGUGGCCGUGCUCAAUCUGCGGCGGAGACUACCAAGACGGCAUGACAGAGCUGGUUCUGCCGGUCGCCUGCACGGGGCUGCUGCUGGUCGCCAGGUCUGACUAUGACGUGGCUACGGCCACGCAGCAGCGGCGGCGGGAUGGUGGCGGCGAGCUCCGACAUGUUCCUCCAUCCGCUCUAGGACUCCACCGCCAAGCACACCAACCUCAAGGCAUAUGAUGUGCACCCUUGGUCGUCCGGUCCGACGAACUGCUAAAGAAACUAUGCCCAACGUCGUGAGUGUGCUCACGUUCUGCAAUCAAGCAACCGCCCUCCUCCGUUCUCCUCCAGCAGCAGCAAAAGGAGGAACUGGAGCAACUCCGCUUGCCAGAUGAGAUUUGAGCACGAAGCUCCUUAACUCGAAGGCCGGAGUGAACAAAGAUCCCAGCAAUCAUGUGUUGCCAAGGACACUAAAUAAUCUCGAGUGAAGUUGGAAGCCAUUGGAUCUUUUUCGAACCGCAACUAGCAGGACAUCAACUCAAAAAUUAUCAAGUGCAUUCCUAGAAAAUUAUCUGAUGAUUAAAAGAAGAAAAUCUUGUCUGAUUUUGAUCUGCUCCAAAAUUAACAGUGAAUUUGAUUGAAUUUCAGAGAGUGCAGAGGAGCAGCAGUAGCAACAACAACACGGGCACGGGACAAGCAGGCGACAGGGGAGAAUCACGGGGGACAGCAGAGCUCCACCAGCAGGAGCUCGAGGAGAAGCAGCAGUGGGAGCUCGGGAAGAAGCAGCAACCGGAGCUCAAGGAGAAGCAACAGCGAGAGCUUGAGGACGCGCGGGAGAGCAGUUCUGGGCAGCGGCGGAAGCGCAGAUCUUGGCGGCGGCGCAGGUAUGGGCGGCGGCGGAAGAGCAGUUCUGGGCGGCGGUGGCAGAGCAGUUGGGCGGCAACGCACGUCUGGGCGGCGGGAGGGGAUCGAGGCCGCGGAGGAGACGCCCCUAGGAAUCGCGGCUGGAGGGGACCGCAGCUGGCCGGCGCCUGCCCCUGGCAACGCUCGGGCGACGAGCAGAGGAAGAAGACGGGGCAGAGGGGUCUGUUUGAGACAAUUAUCAGAUGACGAGGUUUUGUUUGCAAAUUUACCAAUGAACUGGGCGUGCGACAUUAAUUUCGGGACGGAGGGAGUACAUAUAUACCACUAAAAAUAUAUUACAUUUCACUCACAAUAUAUUUCUCUGGCUGUUCUGAUGA
Long non-coding RNA from Aegilops tauschii subsp. strangulata, 1701 nucleotides. RefSeq lists it as uncharacterized. The record is from RefSeq and is a predicted model, not a curated record. Lineage: Eukaryota; Viridiplantae; Streptophyta; Magnoliopsida; Poales; Poaceae.